AUUGAACGCUGGCGGCAUGCCUUACACAUGCAAGUCGAACGGCAGCACGGGAGAAAUCCUGGUGGCGAGUGGCGAACGGGUGAGUAAUACAUCGGAACGUGCCCAGUAGUGGGGGAUAGCCCGGCGAAAGCCGGAUUAAUACCGCAUACGACCUACGGGUGAAAGCGGGGAUCGCAAGACCUCGCGCUAUUGGAGCGGCCGAUGUCAGAUUAGCUUGUUGGUGGGGUAAAAGCCUACCAAGGCGACGAUCUGUAGCUGGUCUGAGAGGACGACCAGCCACACUGGGACUGAGACACGGCCCAGACUCCUACGGGAGGCAGCAGUGGGGAAUAUUGGACAAUGGGCGCAAGCCUGAUCCAGCGAUGCCGCGUGUGUGAAGAAGGCCUGCGGGUU
RNAcentral lists this ribosomal RNA (393 nucleotides) under uncultured bacterium. RNAcentral's name for it is "bacterial SSU rRNA". It matches the Rfam family "Bacterial small subunit ribosomal RNA", at positions 29 to 424 of the family's 1533-position model. The record is from RNAcentral.